GAUGAACGCUGGCGGCGUGCCUAAUACAUGCAAGUCGAGCGAACAGACGAGGAGCUUGCUCCUCUGACGUUAGCGGCGGACGGGUGAGUAACACGUGGAUAACCUACCUAUAAGACUGGGAUAACUUCGGGAAACCGGAGCUAAUACCGGAUAAUAUAUUGAACCGCAUGGUUCAAUAGUGAAAGACGGUUUUGCUGUCACUUAUAGAUGGAUCCGCGCCGCAUUAGCUAGUUGGUAAGGUAACGGCUUACCAAGGCAACGAUGCGUAGCCGACCUGAGAGGGUGAUCGGCCACACUGGAACUGAGACACGGUCCAGACUCCUACGGGAGGCAGCAGUAGGGAAUCUUCCGCAAUGGGCGAAAGCCUGACGGAGCAACGCCGCGUGAGUGAUGAAGGUCUUCGGAUCGUAAAACUCUGUUAUUAGGGAAGAACAAAUGUGUAAGUAACUAUGCACGUCUUGACGGUACCUAAUCAGAAAGCCACGGCUAACUUCGUG
This 497-nucleotide ribosomal RNA is filed under the name uncultured bacterium. RNAcentral's name for it is "partial 16S ribosomal RNA". It matches the Rfam family "Bacterial small subunit ribosomal RNA", at positions 28 to 507 of the family's 1533-position model. The record is from RNAcentral.